RNAcentral lists this ribosomal RNA (460 nucleotides) under uncultured bacterium. RNAcentral's name for it is "partial 16S ribosomal RNA". It matches the Rfam family "Bacterial small subunit ribosomal RNA", at positions 338 to 795 of the family's 1533-position model. The record is from RNAcentral.
CCUACGGGAGGCAGCAGUGAGGAAUAUUGGUCAAUGGACGAGAGUCUGAACCAGCCAAGUAGCGUGAAGGAUGACUGCCCUAUGGGUUGUAAACUUCUUUUAUAUGGGAAUAAAAUGUUCCACGUGUGGGAUUUUGUAUGUACCAUAUGAAUAAGGAUCGGCUAACUCCGUGCCAGCAGCCGCGGUAAUACGGAGGAUCCGAGCGUUAUCCGGAUUUAUUGGGUUUAAAGGGAGAGUAGGUGGAUUGUUAAGUCAGUUGUGAAAGUUUGCGGCUCAACCGUAAAAUUGCAGUUGAAACUGGCAGUCUGGAGUACAGUAGAGGUGGGCGGAAUUCGUGGUGUAGCGGUGAAAUGCUUAGAUAUCACGAAGAACUCCGAGUGCGAAGGCAGCUCACUGGACUGCAACUGACACUGAGGCUCGAAAGUGUGGGUAUCAAACAGGAUUAGAUACCCGAGUAGUC